GACGAACGCUGGCGGCGUGCUUAACACAUGCAAGUCGAACGGUAAGGCCCUUCGGGGUACACGAGUGGCGAACGGGUGAGUAACACGUGGGUGAUCUGCCCUGCACUUCGGGAUAAGCCUGGGAAACUGGGUCUAAUACCGGAUAGGACCACUGCCUGCAUGGGUGGUGGUGGAGAGCUUUUGCGGUGUGGGAUGGGCCCGCGGCUUAUCAGCUUGUUGGUGGGGAGAUGGCCUAACAAGGCGACGACGGGUAGCCGGCCUGAGAGGGUGACCAGCCACACUGGGACUGAGAUACGGCCCAGACUCCUACGGGAGGCAGCAGUGGGGAAUAUUGCACAAUGGGCGCAAGCCUGAUGCAGCGACGCCGCGGGAGGGAUGACGGCCUUCGGGUUGUAAACCUCUUUCAGCACCGACGAAGCGCAAGUGACGGUAGGUGCAGAAGAAGGACCGGCCAACUACGUGCCAGCCGCCGCGGUAA
Molecule: ribosomal RNA, 478 nt
Filed under: uncultured bacterium
Lineage: Bacteria
Description: partial 16S ribosomal RNA
Rfam family: Bacterial small subunit ribosomal RNA
Source: RNAcentral